Molecule: long non-coding RNA, 230 nt
Filed under: Vigna radiata
Lineage: Eukaryota; Viridiplantae; Streptophyta; Magnoliopsida; Fabales; Fabaceae
Description: long non-coding RNA (VRAD_LNC015950)
Source: RNAcentral
AAACAUCCAAAACAAUAAAUGGAACCAAUUGAUGACUGAACCUGAAGCUAACAUCAUGCCCAGCCCACCGACAUACCAUAACCUUUAAUAAUUCGCAGUUAAUCUCCAAAGCCUUACGUAGCUCCAAACACCAAUGAAAUGGUGUCAUCCCAAUUCGUUCUACGUGCACAUGUCUCAGUAAGCCAUUCAUUUUAAUAAUGGUUGAUGAAUCCAAAGAGAUUCGAACCCGC